UACGUAGGUGGCAAGCGUUGUCCGGAAUUAUUGGGCGUAAAGCGCGCGCAGGCGGCCUUUUAAGUCUGAUGUGAAAGCCCACGGCUCAACCGUGGAAGGUCAUUGGAAACUGAAAGGCUUGAGUACAGAAGAGGAAAGCGGAAUUCCACGUGUAGCGGUGAAAUGCGUAGAGAUGUGGAGGAACACCGGUGGCGAAGGCGGCCCCCUGGACCGGUACUGACGCUGAGGCGCGAAAGCGUGGGGAGCAAACAGG
Molecule: ribosomal RNA, 253 nt
Filed under: uncultured bacterium
Lineage: Bacteria
Description: partial 16S ribosomal RNA
Rfam family: Bacterial small subunit ribosomal RNA
Source: RNAcentral